CGUGAAACCUCUAUUUAUUAAAUGCUUCCAAACAUUUUCACGAUUUGCCAAUUUUGAAUUGUUGCAUUUCCGACAAGGACAGAACAUCUUACCGCUUUCUUGGGCGUGCGGUGUGAAAUCUGCUUGAUGCAUAAAUGUCUCCAGCCCUUCGAGGUAUUCUUUCGUCACUCUCCCGUUAGCAUUUCUGUGCAUAUACAUCCACCUC
Molecule: long non-coding RNA, 205 nt
Filed under: Brassica napus (rape)
Lineage: Eukaryota; Viridiplantae; Streptophyta; Magnoliopsida; Brassicales; Brassicaceae
Description: long non-coding RNA (BNAP_LNC022445)
Source: RNAcentral